This 412-nucleotide ribosomal RNA is filed under the name uncultured bacterium. Its description in RNAcentral is "bacterial SSU rRNA". It matches the Rfam family "Bacterial small subunit ribosomal RNA", at positions 360 to 769 of the family's 1533-position model. The record is from RNAcentral.
AAUAUUGGUCAAUGGAGGGAACUCUGAACCAGCCAUGCCGCGUGCAGGAAGACUGCCCUAUGGGUUGUAAACUGCUUUUAUACGGGAAUAAACCCCUCGACGUGUCGGGGGCUGAAUGUACCGUAGGAAUAAGGAUCGGCUAACUCCGUGCCAGCAGCCGCGGUAAUACGGAGGAUCCGAGCGUUAUCCGGAUUCACUGGGUUUAAAGGGUGCGUAGGCGGCCCGGCAAGUCAGUGGUGAAAGCCCGCAGCUCAACUGCGGAAUUGCCAUUGAAACUGCCAGGCUUGAAUCUGGCUGAAGUGGGCGGAAUAUAUCAUGUAGCGGUGAAAUGCUUAGAUAUGAUGUAGAACACCGAUUGCGAAGGCAGCUCACUAAGCCAACAUUGACGCUGAGGCACGAAAGCGUGGGGAGC